CGGCUGCUCAGUAACACGUAGUCAACUUACCCUAUGGACGAGGAUAAUCUCGGGAGACUGAGCAUAAUACUCGAUAGAUCAUAAUGCCUGGAAUGGUUUAUGGUUGAAAUGAUUCGUCGCCAUAGGAUGGGACUGCGGCCUAUCAGCUUGUUGGUGAGGUAAUGGCCCACCAAGGCGAUUACAGGUACGGGCUCUGAGAGGAGAAGCCCGGAGAUGGGUACUGAGACAAGGACCCAGGCCCUAUGGGGCGCAGCAGGCGAGAAAACUUUGCAAUGUGCGAAAGCACGACAAGGUUAAUCCGAGUGAUUUCUGCUAAAGAAAUCUUUUGCAAGUCAUAAAACCACUAGUGAAUAAGGGGUGGGCAAGUUCUGGUGUCAGCCGCCGCGGUAAAACCAGCACCUCAAGUGGUCAGGAGGAUUAUUGGGCCUAAAGCAUCCGUAGCCGGCUCUGUAAGUUUUCGGUUAAAUCCAUGUGCUCAACGCAUGGGCUGCCGAAAAUACUGCAUAGCUAGGGAGUGGGAGAGGUAGACGGUACUCGGUAGGAAGGGGUAAAAUCCUUUGAUCUAUCGAUGACCACCUGUGGCGAAGGCGGUCUACCAGAACACGUUCGACGGUGAGGGAUGAAAGCUGGGGGAGCAAACCGGAUUAGAUACCCGGGUAGUCCCAGCUGUAAACGAUGCAGACUCGAUGAUGCAUUGGCAUAUAGCCAGUGCAGUGUCGCAGGGAAGCCGUUAAGUCUGCCGCCUGGGAAGUACGUACGCAAGUAUGAAACUUAAAGGAAUUGGCGGGGGAGCAG
RNAcentral lists this ribosomal RNA (795 nucleotides) under uncultured marine thaumarchaeote. RNAcentral's name for it is "bacterial SSU rRNA". It matches the Rfam family "Archaeal small subunit ribosomal RNA", at positions 83 to 879 of the family's 1478-position model. Lineage: Archaea; Thermoproteati; Nitrososphaerota. The record is from RNAcentral.